This 357-nucleotide ribosomal RNA is filed under the name uncultured Acidobacteriota bacterium. Its description in RNAcentral is "SSU rRNA". It matches the Rfam family "Bacterial small subunit ribosomal RNA", at positions 242 to 616 of the family's 1533-position model. The record is from RNAcentral. Lineage: Bacteria; Pseudomonadati; Acidobacteriota.
CAGCUAGUUGGCAGGGUAAGAGCCUACCAAGGCAGAGAUCGGUAGCCGGCCUGAGAGGGCACACGGCCACACUGGCACUGAAACACGGGCCAGACUCCUACGGGAGGCAGCAGUGGGGAAUCUUGCACAAUGGGGGCAACCCUGAUGCAGCGACGCCGCGUGAGCGAUGAAGCCCUUCGGGGUGUAAAGCUCUUUCGGCAGGGAAGAUGAUGACGGUACCUGCAGAAGCAGCUGCGGCUAACUACGUGCCAGCAGCCGCGGUAAUACGUAGGCAGCGAGCGUUGUUCGGAGUUACUGGGCGUAAAGGGUGUGUAGGCGGUUCUUUAAGUUUGGUGUGAAAUCUCCCAGCCUAUCCGG